UCAAUACGUGAAUGAAGAAAAACAUCCAGAACUGGUGCCAACACUUGAGGAAUGUAGAGUUUUGACAGGGAGACACAUAGAAGCAAGCGGCUCUGUCCAGAACCAAGCUUGCUUUUCCUUCCAGACCUGCUGCUCCUGCCGUGGUCCUUACUCCAGCCCAAGAAUAUCAGUUUCUUUCUGGAAGCAUAUCCAUCAAGACUCUGCCCUGCCUCCAAGUGGGCUGAGCCACCAGCCAUUUGAUUAAAAUGCAGUCUUUGCUUUAAGAUAGAAUUCAUCCUGAAUAAACUGGGCUUUUGAGCAGCUAAAAGGACUGUUCCUGUCCCCUCGGAUGCCCAAGGGGAAGAGGCAGAGCUUGGGGUGAGGUGAGCCUCAGUCUGAAGCCCAAACAUGGUGGGCGCAGCCUCUGACCAUCCAGAGCCCUGAGAGGAGGCUGCUGGAACCACAGCAGCCAAUGACCCUUGAGAAAAGGGGGGACCCUGCAGGUGACAGCACAGUCCAGAGGAGGAACACAGCAGUAGCCGCAGGUUCCCAAUCUGGAGAUAACUCGGCAGUCCAGAAAAAGUGUGCCAGAAAAUCCAGAGAUUUCCCAGAGACCAGCCUCCACACUUCCAUUCAGAAAUGAGCCUACACACGUCCAGGGUGAGAGACGCCAAGCAUCAGAGUCACCUACCCGCCCACAGCCGCGUGCCGUGAGUAGGCAUUGGAUCCAAGUCAGAGAGGGCAGUGGGGGCAGAACCCACCAAUACUGGCCAAAGCCCAAAGCUGGAAUUGUCGGGAAACGUAUUGGGGUGUCAUGGAACAAGGGUCAGAUGGGCCUGGUGGGGACCACGGCCAGGAUGGACACGGUGGCAGAUGAGGACAUCUCCAAGCUCUAUAUCUGAGUAUAGAUAUACUCAGCUCUGUCCCUGUGUCUCUGACUCUCUGGUCUCUCCUUGUCUCCCAUCUUCUGUCUCUGUUUGUGUCUGUUUCUCUUUUUCUCCCCAUCUCCCAGUUGCUAUCUCUGAGUACGAGUCUCCAUAUUUGUCACCUGUCUCUGUCUCUCUCUGUCUCUGCCUCUCACAUCCCUCUCUCUGCUCUACGUUGCUCCAUAACCAUGACCACCUCCAGACAUGGGGGUGCUCCCUGUAUUAAUCUGUUAGUGGUCUGUUCCCUCCAGUAGACGGUGGCCUUCAUGAAGGCCAGGGUUUCCAUCUGUAUUAUUUUCUCCUAGACCUCCUGUGCCUGGGA
Molecule: non-coding RNA, 1227 nt
Organism: Manis javanica (Malayan pangolin)
Lineage: Eukaryota; Metazoa; Chordata; Mammalia; Pholidota; Manidae
Source: RefSeq, a predicted model, not a curated record